Molecule: ribosomal RNA, 398 nt
Filed under: uncultured bacterium
Lineage: Bacteria
Description: bacterial SSU rRNA
Rfam family: Bacterial small subunit ribosomal RNA
Source: RNAcentral
UAUUGCAGAAUGGGCGAAAGCCUGAUGCAGCAACGCCGCGUGCGCGAUGAAGGCCUUCGGGUUGUAAAGCGCUUUUGGCUGGGAAGAGAAAGGACGGUACCAGCAGAAUAAGCCUCGGCUAACUACGUGCCAGCAGCCGCGGUAAAACGUAGGAGGCGAGCGUUAUCCGGAUUUACUGGGUGUAAAGCGUGUGCAGGCGGUUUACUAAGUUGGGUGUGAAAGCUCCUGGCUCAACUGGGAGAGGUCGCUCAAGACUGGUAGACUGGAGAGCAGUAGGGGAAGGUGGAAUUCCGGGUGUAGUGGUGAAAUGCGUAGAUAUCCGGAGGAACACCAGUGGCGAAGGCGGCCUUCUAGACUGUAUCUGACGCUCAGACACGAAAGCUAGGGUAGCAAUCGGG